RNAcentral lists this ribosomal RNA (372 nucleotides) under uncultured organism. RNAcentral describes it as "bacterial SSU rRNA". It matches the Rfam family "Bacterial small subunit ribosomal RNA", at positions 527 to 896 of the family's 1533-position model. The record is from RNAcentral.
GGGGGGAGCAAGCGUUGUUCGGAUUUACUGGGCGUAAAGGGCGCGUAGGCGGCGCAACAAGUCACUUGUGAAAUCUCCGGGCUUAACUCGGAGCGGCCAAGUGAUACUGUCGUGCUAGAGUGCGGAAGGGGCAACUGGAAUUCUCGGUGUAGCGGUGAAAUGCGUAGAUAUCGAGAGGAACACCUGCGGCGAAGGCGGGUUGCUGGGCCGACACUGACGCUGAGGCGCGAAAGCCAGGGGAGCGAACGGGAUUAGAUACCCCGGUAGUCCUGGCCUUAAACGAUGGAUGCUUGGUGUCCGGGGUUACAUAGUCCCCGGGUGCCGUCGCUAACGCCUUAAGCAUCCCGCCUGGGGAGUACGCACGCAAGUGUG